RNAcentral lists this ribosomal RNA (283 nucleotides) under Salmonella enterica subsp. enterica serovar Panama. RNAcentral's name for it is "partial 23S ribosomal RNA". It matches the Rfam family "Bacterial large subunit ribosomal RNA", at positions 582 to 867 of the family's 2925-position model. The record is from RNAcentral. Lineage: Bacteria; Pseudomonadati; Pseudomonadota; Gammaproteobacteria; Enterobacterales; Enterobacteriaceae.
CCCUUUGGGGUGUGACUGCGUACCUUUUGUAUAAUGGGUCAGCGACUUAUAUUCUGUAGCAAGGUUAACCGAAUAGGGGAGCCGGAGGGAAACCGAGUCUUAACCGGGCGUUAAGUUGCAGGGUAUAGACCCGAAACCCGGUGAUCUAGCCAUGGGCAGGUUGAAGGUUGGGUAACACUAACUGGAGGACCGAACCGACUAAUGUUGAAAAAUUAGCGGAUGACCUGUGGCUGGGGGUGAAAGGCCAAUCAAACCGGGAGAUAGCUGGUUCUCCCCGAAAGCU